AAGAUUCACUCUUCUCUCAAAUAUGUAUUUUGGAAAUUCACACUCAAGAAGGAAAAUCCACUUAGUCGUGAUAUGUCGUGGUCACAUAGUAACUCAAAAAGGUCUUUUCUCAUUGGUUGUAAUGGGGCUAAGGACCAUUCAUGAUGUAGGCAAGAUCCUAGGGGUCCUAAGCUUAAACAUUGAAGAUCAAAGUGUGCAUAUCUAAUCCAAAUCAUCAUCCACAAUUCAAGUUUAUAGAGAAAGAAAGCAACCAAACUUCGGGGAAAAAACUCCAACAAUAACAAUGAUACUACAUGCUCAACUCAAACUGGUGCAACAUCUUUUUCUUUUCUUUUCUU
This 338-nucleotide long non-coding RNA is filed under the name Salvia miltiorrhiza (redroot sage). RNAcentral's name for it is "long non-coding RNA (SMIL_LNC002867)". The record is from RNAcentral. Lineage: Eukaryota; Viridiplantae; Streptophyta; Magnoliopsida; Lamiales; Lamiaceae.